UACGUAGGGUGCGAGCGUUGUCCGGAUUUAUUGGGCGUAAAGAGCUCGUAGGCGGUUCGGCAAGUCAGCUGUGAAAUCUCCACGCUCAACGUGGAGGGGUCAGCUGAUACUGCUGUGACUCGAGUCCGGUAGGGGAGUGUGGAAUUCCCGGUGUAGCGGUGAAAUGCGUAGAUAUCAGGAGGAACACCUGUGGCGAAAGCGGCUCACUGGACCACAACUGACGCUGAUGCACGAAAGCUAGGGGAGCAAACAGG
Molecule: ribosomal RNA, 254 nt
Filed under: uncultured bacterium
Lineage: Bacteria
Description: partial 16S ribosomal RNA
Rfam family: Bacterial small subunit ribosomal RNA
Source: RNAcentral